UACCAUCACCUGGCCCUGAGGGAAGUCAUAAAGGCCUGGCAGGUCCGGCUGGACUGCCAGGGGCACCUGAAACUGGCUCAUGAUGCUGCCAGAGGUAGGGGCAUAGGUGCCGGAGCGGAGCCACGGUCCGGCCUCCCGCCGCCUGCCAAGGCCACCACUGGGUCCUUCUUUCCUAAAACAGUCAAGAGUGCACAAGGGUGAAGGCAGGUAGCUCCAGUCUCCAGGAUGGGCGCCUCUUCACCUCCUCUGAAGCAGUCUGAUAGGGCUCAGUUGGGGGCCACUCUCCCAUCUGCUGGGGCCCAGGAUCUGGGGCAGGACGCCAGCGGCGGUCCCCAGAGAAGGGAUCAUCUUGGCUGGGUGGGUUCUUCACCCUCACCCACCCUGGACCCAGGCAUGAGUUUACUCCCAGCGUCCGACACGGUGCCUGGGACCCAUAUCUCAACAUAUUCCUGUUGAAUGAUGAACAGAGCCCUGCUUUCUACUGGGACCCAUAGACUGGCUCCAAAGAUCCGAUCCAGGAUACCACUUUGCAUUUAGAUGCCAAUCUUUUUAAAGGAGAACAUUAAAUAUGAUUAAAAGCUGUUUUAGGAGAAUCGUCUGAGAACAACAACCAGGUUGGACCAGGAAGCUGGGUAGCAAGGCAUUUGUAAAGGCAUUCCAGAAUCUUCGCUGAAUUUCCAAAUGCACCUUACUGCCCGGUGCUAAAGAGACUCACCAGUUGGAGGUGCCAUUGCCAGGAAGACGAGAUCUGGGCCACUGGAAGCAUGUCUGCCUGCUCAGGGCCCACAGGGGCCGAAGCAUCUUUAGGAUGCUCCUGGGGGCCUCCACCUAGCAGCGUUAGUAAGCUAGCAGUUCUUCCUGCCCGGGCAACCAGCAUGGACUGAUAAAUCUAAAU
Canis lupus familiaris (dog) is the source of this 895-nucleotide long non-coding RNA. RefSeq lists it as uncharacterized. The record is from RefSeq and is a predicted model, not a curated record. Lineage: Eukaryota; Metazoa; Chordata; Mammalia; Carnivora; Canidae. The transcript is spliced from 3 exons.